Long non-coding RNA from Carcharodon carcharias (great white shark), 1570 nucleotides. RefSeq lists it as uncharacterized. The record is from RefSeq and is a predicted model, not a curated record. NCBI's taxonomy places the organism in Eukaryota, Metazoa, Chordata, Chondrichthyes, Lamniformes, Lamnidae. The transcript has 4 exons.
AGGUGGUGUCACUACGUAUGUUCCUCUAUUAGCCAAAGAGUAGCUUUGCAACAAGGCAAUUUGGAAUCCUAUGUUUUGAAUCAAGAUGUCUGCAGUUGCAGAUUCACCUAGUUCUGUUGAAUGGUCAUGAGGACUCGAAACGUCAACUCUUUUCUUCUCCGCCGAUGCUGCCAGACCUGCAGAGUUUUACCAGGGCAUAACUUGCUAAAGCAUAUUUUCAGCGAGACCAACCACACAGAAGUGAAGUACAUCUCAAUUCAAACGAUUCAAAGGGAUUUCUACCUGCAGUGACUUCAACAACACGCCAUAUGGAGGAGCAGGGAAUCAUUGACAAGUUAAGCCAUAACUGGCGAGAGAGGGAGAAGACAGGAGGAGUUUGGCCACACCUGAAGGAAGUGACUGAGUUCGAGGAGUGGGCAGCCCAGCAGGCAGGGCUGGAGCAGGGACCGGACCACUGGAGAUGGGGAGACUGGAUUUGGGCCUCCAAAGAGUAAGGAAGCAUGCAUCAGAUAGAAACCUCAGGUCAAAAGGUGCCUCCAUGUUGGAGGCAGCUCAAGAUGUCACUCACUCUCACCUCUCUCGCUUACACCGGGAGGACGGCAAGGACUGAGCCAGAAGAAGAGCCACCCAACUUUAAUGCAAGCCCAAAACAAGAGGAGCGGGGAGAUCACAAAAGAGACAUAUGCAACUGUAGAGACAUCACAACAGAUACCUGCAACCUCCACCCACUCAGAGACAGACACCUUGGUGGGUAUUAGCUCUUGUGCAGGAAGGGUCUCACACUCUGGUGGUCACCGCAUGGACACAUGUCUACAGUAGGAGGAGGCAGGGACAGCUGAGUUCCCUGGCACUUAGAGGACUGCUGGGGAGCAAAUAUCUGCGAGGUUCAUGCCCAAUGAUGGGCCUCUGGAAUCGGCCUUCCAACUGAUGUUAGAGAGUCAGCAAAAGGUGGGGCAAAGUCAGGCAGAGGUUUUGGAGGCCCUCAACAGGGUGGCAAGCGAUGCAAGGGAGUCCGUCCGCCUGCUGGCUAAUGAAGUGGUGUCGACCUAUGCAUGUAUUGAGGUCUCCAUGGGAAGGAUGGUGGAUUCCAUGGAGAUCCUGGUCCAGCAGAUUCUGCCAGAAAAGUGCACAGGCCUGCACUCCACUGCAGUAGCCAUGGAGAGCUUCUGCAGUGGCUACGUGAGAGGAGGACAGGGCCCUUUCCCCUCUAGGAGUCAGGCAGGGGCCAUCAGGCACCCAAAGGGAAGAAGAGCAGCAGCUGGACACCCCAUGGGACGUCCACUCAAGAAUCUCAGAGUUUAUCCAGCUCUUCCAAAUCCACUUUGCCUGUGAUCCCAUCAACCUCGUCUCUGUGACUGCAGAGGGAGCAGCUGGCCCACAGCAAGUUAGCCAAAUGAAGCUGGGGCCCUCCAGGCCUCGGCUCUCCAGAGGACGGCCCAUCAAGAUCAUCCAAGGCCACAGAACCAACUGAUCAGCAGUUGCCUCCAUCUUUACUGUAGAUGUUGGGGGAGCACCUGUAAGAAGUAGCACAGAAAGGGAAAUUGAGAAAUAUUAAAAUCACAACUAUUUG